ACGAACGCUGGCGGCAUGCCUAACACAUGCAAGUCGAACGAGACCUUCGGGUCUAGUGGCGCACGGGUGCGUAACGCGUGGGAACCUGCCCUUAGGUUCGGAAUAACUCCCCGAAAGGGGUGCUAAUACCGGAUAAUGUCUUCGGACCAAAGAUUUAUCGCCUUUGGAUGGGCCCGCGUUGGAUUAGCUAGUUGGUAGGGUAAAAGCCUACCAAGGCGACGAUCCAUAGCUGGUCUGAGAGGAUGAUCAGCCACACUGGGACUGAGACACGGCCCAGACUCCUACGGGAGGCAGCAGUGGGGAAUAUUGGACAAUGGGCGAAAGCCUGAUUCAGCAAUGCCGCGUGAGUGAUGAAGGCCUUAGGGUUGUAAAGCUCUUUUACCCGGGAUGAUAAUGACAGUACCGGGAGAAUAAGCUCCGGCUAACUCCGUG
Molecule: ribosomal RNA, 432 nt
Filed under: uncultured bacterium
Lineage: Bacteria
Description: partial 16S ribosomal RNA
Rfam family: Bacterial small subunit ribosomal RNA
Source: RNAcentral